This 807-nucleotide ribosomal RNA is filed under the name Gordonia sp. MPWISU_Cu06. RNAcentral describes it as "bacterial SSU rRNA". It matches the Rfam family "Bacterial small subunit ribosomal RNA", at positions 60 to 878 of the family's 1533-position model. The record is from RNAcentral. Lineage: Bacteria; Bacillati; Actinomycetota; Actinomycetes; Mycobacteriales; Gordoniaceae.
AGUCGAACGGAAAGGCCCAGCUUGCUGGGUACUCGAGUGGCGAACGGGUGAGUAACACGUGGGUGAUCUGCCCUGAACUUUGGGAUAAGCCUGGGAAACUGGGUCUAAUACCGGAUAUGACCUUGGAGUGCAUGCUCUGGGGUGGAAAGCUUUUGCGGUUCAGGAUGGGCCCGCGGCCUAUCAGCUUGUUGGUGGGGUAAUGGCCUACCAAGGCGACGACGGGUAGCCGACCUGAGAGGGUGAUCGGCCACACUGGGACUGAGACACGGCCCAGACUCCUACGGGAGGCAGCAGUGGGGAAUAUUGCACAAUGGGCGCAAGCCUGAUGCAGCGACGCCGCGUGAGGGAUGACGGCCUUCGGGUUGUAAACCUCUUUCACCAGGGACGAAGCGCAAGUGACGGUACCUGGAGAAGAAGCACCGGCCAACUACGUGCCAGCAGCCGCGGUAAUACGUAGGGUGCGAGCGUUGUCCGGAAUUACUGGGCGUAAAGAGCUCGUAGGCGGUUUGUCGCGUCGUCUGUGAAAUUCUGCAACUCAAUUGUAGGCGUGCAGGCGAUACGGGCAGACUUGAGUACUACAGGGGAGACUGGAAUUCCUGGUGUAGCGGUGAAAUGCGCAGAUAUCAGGAGGAACACCGGUGGCGAAGGCGGGUCUCUGGGUAGUAACUGACGCUGAGGAGCGAAAGCGUGGGUAGCGAACAGGAUUAGAUACCCUGGUAGUCCACGCCGUAAACGGUGGGUACUAGGUGUGGGGCUCAUUUCACGAGUUCCGUGCCGUAGCUAACGCAUUAAGUACCCCGCCUGGGG